UAGGGAAUCUUCCGCAAUGGACGCAAGUCUGACGGAGCAACGCCGCGUGAGUGAAGAAGGAUUUCGGUUCGUAAAACUCUGUUGUUAGAGAAGAACAGCGCAUAGAGUAACUGUUAUGCGUGUGACGGUAUCUAACCAGCAAGCCACGGCUAACUACGUGCCAGCAGCCGCGGUAAUACGUAGGUGGCAAGCGUUGUCCGGAUUUAUUGGGCGUAAAGCGAGCGCAGGCGGUCAAGUAAGUCUGAUGUGAAAGCCCCCGGCUCAACCGGGGAGGGUCAUUGGAAACUGGUUGACUUGAGUGCAGAAGAGGGGAGUGGAAUUCCAUGUGUAGCGGUGAAAUGCGUAGAUAUAUGGAGGAACACCAGUGGCGAAGGCGACUCUCUGGUCUGUAACUGACGCUGAGGUUCGAAAGCGUGGGGAGCAAACAGG
Molecule: ribosomal RNA, 429 nt
Filed under: Bacteroidota bacterium
Lineage: Bacteria; Pseudomonadati; Bacteroidota
Description: Bacteroidetes bacterium partial 16S ribosomal RNA
Rfam family: Bacterial small subunit ribosomal RNA
Source: RNAcentral